GCAGCUUCUUAGAGAAACCUGCCUCCUUGAUUUGGGCAGCCAGUCAAUUCGGCUCCUUGAUCCAAAGUAGAGAUUAACAGCACUGCACAUCCAAGCUCAUCGAUUGAUGAGUCGCUAGACUUGUAUUAAAUUUGAAAAAAUGGGCAUGAAGCUUCACAAACCAUUGCAGAUUGGGAAAUUUUUGGGUAUCAAAGAAGAGAAAUUUCAUUAACUCACUUUUGAAAACUUUGAGUUGGUAGAGCUUUUUAGACUUGUCGAUUAAGAUAGACUUCAAAUGAAUUUCGACAAUCCGCUCAAGUGGACGACGACUUAUAUGACCACAGUCAGUGACUUGUAAUGUUGAUUUGAGAAUCUCAUCUCGAACGACCCACAUCUCUUAGUACCCACAACCUAGUGGAGAAUCAGAGGUUGUGAAUUUAAGCAAAGACAAAGUCUUUGAUUUCCCAAGGAUUUCAAUUGUUUGGAGUUUCGUUGUAAUAGUCAUCGUUUAUUCUGUUUGCCAAAUAUGUAGUGCUCAUUUUAACCCUCCAUUCACCAUAGCUUUUGCCACUACCAAGAGACUUUUCAUGAAAA
Molecule: long non-coding RNA, 573 nt
Organism: Benincasa hispida (wax gourd)
Lineage: Eukaryota; Viridiplantae; Streptophyta; Magnoliopsida; Cucurbitales; Cucurbitaceae
Source: RefSeq, a predicted model, not a curated record